UACGUAGGUCCCGAGCGUUGUCCGGAUUUAUUGGGCGUAAAGCGAGCGCAGGUGGUUUAUUAAGUCUGGUGUAAAAGGCAGUGGCUCAACCAUUGUAUGCAUUGGAAACUGGUAGACUUGAGUGCAGGAGAGGAAAGUGGAAUUCCAUGUGUAGCGGUGAAAUGCGUAGAUAUAUGGAAGAACACCGGUGGCGAAAGCGGCUCUCUGGCCUGUAACUGACACUGAGGCUCGAAAGCGUGGGGAGCAAACAGG
Molecule: ribosomal RNA, 252 nt
Filed under: uncultured bacterium
Lineage: Bacteria
Description: partial 16S ribosomal RNA
Rfam family: Bacterial small subunit ribosomal RNA
Source: RNAcentral